This 247-nucleotide ribosomal RNA is filed under the name uncultured archaeon. RNAcentral describes it as "partial 16S ribosomal RNA". It matches the Rfam family "Archaeal small subunit ribosomal RNA", at positions 691 to 937 of the family's 1478-position model. The record is from RNAcentral.
CCGACGGUGAGGGGUGAAAGCUGGGGGCACGAACCGGAUUAGAUACCCGGGUAGUCCCAGCCGUAAACGAUGCUCGCUAGGUGUCUGGGAUGGUGCGACCGUUUCAGGUGCCGCAGGGAAGCCGUGAAGCGAGCCACCUGGGAAGUACGGCCGCAAGGCUGAAACUUAAAGGAAUUGGCGGGGGAGCACUACAACGGGUGGAGCCUGCGGUUUAAUUGGACUCAACGCCGGAAAGCUCACCUGGGGC